UCCGUGCCAGCAGCCGCGGUAAUACGNAGGGUGCAAGCGUUAAUNGGAAUUACUGGGCGUAAAGCGCACGCAGGCGGUCUGUUAAGUCAGAUGUGAAAUCCCCGGGCUUAACCUGGGAACUGCAUUUGAAACUGGCAGGCUUGAGUCUUGUAGAGGGGGGUAGAAUUCCAGGUGUAGCGGUGAAAUGCGUAGAGAUCUGGAGGAAUACCGGUGGCGAAGGCGGCCCCCUGGACAAAGACUGACGCUCAGGUGCGAAAGCGUGGGGAGCAAACAGGAUUAGAUACCCUGGUAGUCCACGCCGUAAACGAUGUCGACUUGGAGGUUGUUCCCUUGAGGAGUGGCUUCCGGAGCUAACGCGUUAAGUCGACCGCCUGGGGAGUACGGCCGCAAGGUUAAAACUCAAAUGAAUUGACGGGGGCCCGCACAAGCGGUGGAGCAUGUGGUUUAAUUCGAUGCAACGCGAAGAACCUUACCUACUCUUGACAUCCAG
RNAcentral lists this ribosomal RNA (490 nucleotides) under Pantoea sp. RNAcentral describes it as "bacterial SSU rRNA". It matches the Rfam family "Bacterial small subunit ribosomal RNA", at positions 502 to 991 of the family's 1533-position model. Lineage: Bacteria; Pseudomonadati; Pseudomonadota; Gammaproteobacteria; Enterobacterales; Erwiniaceae. The record is from RNAcentral.